Molecule: non-coding RNA, 1009 nt
Filed under: Equus caballus (horse)
Lineage: Eukaryota; Metazoa; Chordata; Mammalia; Perissodactyla; Equidae
Description: Eukaryotic small subunit ribosomal RNA
Rfam family: Eukaryotic small subunit ribosomal RNA
Source: Rfam by way of RNAcentral
AAAUUGGCAGCUAGGACAUACUCUUUUUGGUUGACUGCAGUCUUUGCCGUGGUCCUCACUGUCAUCAGAAUCAUUACAAAAAUGUAAGUUUAUUUAUUGCUAGGAUGAUUGAACAAUUAUUAUACUGAUAUGAAUUGAGUCCAUGCAUUCCCCUUUAAGUAAAUGUAUUUGAUUUCAUUGUAGAAAAUUUAAAAAAUAUUAAAAGAAUGAAGAAAAUAAAAAUAGAUAAUAAAAAAUAAAGUUAUAAAUAAUAAAUAAACCCUCACAUGAAAUGAGUUACCAUGAACGUUUUCUUUUCCUCUGGUCUUUGAACAUUUUCUCUCCUGCCAUGGUGGCCGUGGGUUACAGGGAAUCAGGGUUCACCUGGGUCUCGAGAGGGAGCCUGAGAAACCACAUCAAAGGAAGGCAGCAGGCAUGCAAAUUACCCACUCUCUGAGGGGAAGGUGGUGAAGAAAAAUAACAAUACAGGGCUCUUUUUUGAGACUGUGUAAUUGGAAUGAGUCCACUUUAAAUCCUUUAACGAGGGUCCAUUGGAGAGCAAGUUUGGUGCCAGUAGCCGCAGUAAUUCCAGCUCUAACAGCAUUUAUUAGAGCUGCUGCAGUUAAAAAGCUCAUAGUUGGAUCUUGGGAGCAGGGCUGUCAGCAGCAAGGCAGAAGUGAGCCACCCCUUGUCCCUGCCCCAUGCCUCUCUGUGCCCCCUUGGUACUCUUAGCUGAAUAUUGAGGGGCCAGAAGUGUUUACUUUGAAAAAAUUAGUGUUCAAAGCAGGCCCGAGCCACCUGGAUACCACAACCAGGAAAAACAGGAUAGGACCGUGGUUCUAUUUUGUUGGUUUAUGGAAGGGAGACCAUGAUUAAAAGGGGCAGCUGGGGGCAUUCAUAUUGCACUAGGGGUGAAAUUCUUGGACCUGCAGAAGCAAAAACAAUUUCUUAAUAAAAGGGAAAAACUUUUUUUCUCUCAGUAUAUAUAAAUGAUGCUUGCAUGGCCACAUACAUUUUAGAGGUAUCGUGG